Molecule: ribosomal RNA, 496 nt
Filed under: uncultured bacterium
Lineage: Bacteria
Description: partial 16S ribosomal RNA
Rfam family: Bacterial small subunit ribosomal RNA
Source: RNAcentral
GAUGAACGCUGGCGGCGUGCCUAAUACAUGCAAGUCGAGCGAACGGACGAGAAGCUUGCUUCUCUGAUGUUAGCGGCGGACGGGUGAGUAACACGUGGAUAACCUACCUAUAAGACUGGGAUAACUUCGGGAAACCGUAGCUAAUACCGGAUAAUAUUUUGAACCGCAUGGUUCAAAAGUGAAAGACGGUCUUGCUGUCACUUAUAGAUGGAUCCGCGCUGCAUUAGCUAGUUGGUAAGGUAACGGCCUACCAAGGCGACGAGGAAUAGCCGACCUGAGAGGAGGAUCGGCAACAGGGAACGAAGGCACGGAAGCGACUCCGGCAGGGGGGCACAGGACGGACUCUUCCGGGAAGGAGGAAAAGCGAAAGGAGCAAAGGCGGGGGAAGUGUGAAGGUCUUAGGAACCGUAAAAGUUGGUAAUGGGGAAAAAGCAAAGGGAAAGUAAACGGGACAAUUCUGACGGUACCUUAAAAAGAAACCCCGGCUAACUACGUG